CUUGAACUGGGAAUUUCUAAGACAAUGAUCAUGGUUCUUUCCAGUUGAGCAAGUCUGCUAACAAUUUCUGUAUAUAUAUUUCUAGAAUCAAAUAAUCAAAAACUAAAAAUAUUUAACCGGAACCAAACACCCAGACCUACUCAUGGUCAUGGUGAUGGUCACGGUCAAGGACCAAUAUCACUCGAAACGCUUUCUAUUCUGAAGUCAGUCCAUCCAGUAUUUUCUUCCUUGGUUUCAUGCUUAUUGCUCUGAUAUGGAAGUUUGACUUCUCAGCAUUUAUGGUUCUGAUCAUUGCUUAUAUAUUAUAUAUUGAAUCCGUUAUUAUAUAUCUUAUAUAUUUCUAUAGCCUAUAGGUACCAUCAAUCAUCAAGACCAUUUCAAACUACAGAGUCAAGCCAUCUCCCACACCUAUAAUAGCUGGAAACUUGGAGAAAUUAUUGCUACUGGAGUUGUGCUUGGAAGCUACCUAGCCAUCAUGACUGUUAUUUUCUCUUUGGUGGCACACAAGACAGAAUUUUUCUCAGUAAUAAUAUAAUCGAGUUUUUUCUUGGAGUACUAGACUACUAGUGAUAAUUUGUCUUCUUUUCCAAGUGUAUAAAGUUGUAAAUUAAUUAUUUAAUUUUACAUUGGAUUCACAGGAGACGUUUGGUGUGAAGUCUAUCAGGAAUAGUAACAACUCAUGAGUGAGGUGUAUCUACAAGUUAGUAUCAUUAGUCAAGCUCUAAUCUUCGUUACAAGAUCAGGGAGUUGGUCCUUUGUUGAACGUGCUGGAGCGUUACUGAUGAUUGCUUUCCUCAUUGCACAACUGGUUGCUACUUUGAUUGCGGUUUACACAAAUUGGGGAAUUCGCAAAAGUUAUGGGUAUUGGAUGGGGAUGGGUUGCAGUUAUCUGGCUAUACAGUAUUAUAACAUACUUCCCAUUGGACAUUCUCCAGUUUGCCAUGGUGACUGGAAAGGUUUGGCUCAACUUGGUUAAGAACAAGAUAGCUUUCACAACGAAGAAAGAUUUCAACAAAGAAGAGAGGGAGGCUCAAUGGGCAGUUGCUCAGAGGACACUUCAAGGCUUAGGGAGCUGCACACACUCAAGGGGCAUGUGGAAUCAUUGAGCGCUGGUGAGAACGCUGGAGAGAUCACCGUAGAAUCGCUUUGGUAUACUUUUUUCUUGAGGAGACAGAUUGUGAAAAUUCCUAGUGAACGAAAGACGGAAAUCCUUAAGGUGUAAUUGGUGACCAAAUAAUGAAAUGGAAUAAUGUAUUCUUUACAAUUCCUAAUUUUUUUUUAUCAUUUACAAGAAAUUGUUUUUCUUUUGCAUUCAUUUUCAUUCUUUUUAUUCUAGAAGAAUAUAGAAGAAAUUUGUUCCCCGCUAAAAUUGAUAAGGAAACAUUUUUUUUUUCAUUCCUCUAAUAUUAUUUCUCUGUAUUUUUUCUCUACUCAUUCCUAAUGUUAUUGUAAUUGUCACCAGUUAGACCCAGUGUUUUUAGAUUUUUUAGUGAGAAAUUAAAAAAUAGAAAUAUCAUUUAUAUUGAGUAAUUCUUCCAAAAGAUACUAAAAUAAAAAAAUUUGACCAAAAGAUCACAAAAGUAGAGGAUGAUUAAAAUAGGUUUCAUCAAAAAGAUAAAAGAUUUUUUUUACCUUACCUUAUAGAUAUAUAAAUAUAAAUAAUUAUUUAAAUAAACAUUUU
Long non-coding RNA from Brassica napus (rape), 1681 nucleotides. RefSeq lists it as uncharacterized. The transcript has 3 exons. The record is from RefSeq and is a predicted model, not a curated record. NCBI's taxonomy places the organism in Eukaryota, Viridiplantae, Streptophyta, Magnoliopsida, Brassicales, Brassicaceae.